RNAcentral lists this ribosomal RNA (521 nucleotides) under Bacteroides sp. enrichment culture. Its description in RNAcentral is "bacterial SSU rRNA". It matches the Rfam family "Bacterial small subunit ribosomal RNA", at positions 375 to 896 of the family's 1533-position model. The record is from RNAcentral. Lineage: Bacteria; Pseudomonadati; Bacteroidota; Bacteroidia; Bacteroidales; Bacteroidaceae.
GCGAAAGCCUGAAGCAGCCAUGUCGCGUGAAUGAAGAAGGAUCUAUGGUUCGUAAACUUCUUUUGCGGGGGAAAAAAGUGCGGGACGUGUCCUGUUUUGUAUGUACCCUGACAAUAAGGAUCGGCUAACUCCGUGCCAGCAGCCGCGGUAAUACGGAGGAUCCGAGCGUUAUCCGGAUUUAUUGGGUUUAAAGGGUGCGUAGGUGGUUUGAUAAGUCAGCGGUGAAAGUUUGCAUCUUAACUGUAAAAAUGCCGUUGAAACUGUCGGACUUGAGUGUAAAUGAGGUAGGCGGAAUGCGUGGUGUAGCGGUGAAAUGCAUAUAUAUCACGCAGAACUCCGAUUGCGAAGGCAGCUUACUAAGCUACAACUGACACUGAAGCACGAAAGCGUGGGGAUCAAACACGAUUACAUACCCUGGUAGUCCACGCAGUAGACGAUGAUUACUAGCUGUUUGCGAUACACAGUAAGCGGCACAGCGAAAGCGUUAAGUAAUCCACCUGGGGAGUACACCUGCCACGGUG